This 465-nucleotide ribosomal RNA is filed under the name uncultured bacterium. RNAcentral's name for it is "partial 16S ribosomal RNA". It matches the Rfam family "Bacterial small subunit ribosomal RNA", at positions 339 to 795 of the family's 1533-position model. The record is from RNAcentral.
CUACGGGCGGCUGCAGUGGGGAAUAUUGGACAAUGGGGGAAACCCUGAUCCAGCAAUGCCGCGUGUGUGAAGAAGGCCUGCGGGUUGUAAAGCACUUUCGGUUGGGAGGACUGCUUCUAGCACUAAUAUUGUUGGAAGUUGACGUUACCUUCAGAAGAAGCACCGGCUAACUCCGUGCCAGCAGCCGCGGUAAUACGGUGGGUGCAAGCGUUAAUCGGAAUUACUGGGCGUAAAGCGCGCGUAGGCGGCUAGAUCAGUCGGGUGUGAAAGCCCCGGGCUUAACCUGGGAACUGCAUCCGAUACUGUCUAGCUUGAGUACAGGAGAGGAGAGUGGAAUUCCACAUGUAGCGGUGAGAUGCGUAGAUAUGUGGAGGAACACCAAUGGCGAAGGCAGCUCUCUGGCCUGAUACUGACGCUGAGGUGCGAAAGCGUGGGGAGCAAACAGGAUUAGAUACCCUUGUAGUC